AGCGUACACGGUGGAUGCCCUGGCAGUCAGAGGCGAUGAAGGACGUGCUAAUCUGCGAUAAGCGUCGGUAAGGUGAUAUGAACCGUUAUAACCGGCGAUUUCCGAAUGGGGAAACCCAGUGUGUUUCGACACACUAUCAUUAACUGAAUCCAUAGGUUAAUGAGGCGAACCGGGGGAACUGAAACAUCUAAGUACCCCGAGGAAAAGAAAUCAACCGAGAUUCCCCCAGUAGCGGCGAGCGAACGGGGAGCAGCCCAGAGCCUGAAUCAGUGUGUGUGUUAGUGGAAGCGUCUGGAAAGGCGUGCGAUACAGGGUGACAGCCCCGUACACAAAAAUGCACAUGCUGUGAGCUCGAUGAGUAGGGCGGGACACGUGGUAUCCUGUCUGAAUAUGGGGGGACCAUCCUCCAAGGCUAAAUACUCCUGACUGACCGAUAGUGAACCAGUACCGUGAGGGAAAGGCGAAAAGAACCCCGGCGAGGGGAGUGAAAAAGAACCUGAAACCGUGUACGUACAAGCAGUGGGAGCACGCUUAGGCGUGUGACUGCGUACCUUUUGUAUAAUGGGUCAGCGACUUAUAUUCUGUAGCAAGGUUAACCGAAUAGGGGAGCCGAAGGGAAACCGAGUCUUAACUGGGCGUUAAGUUGCAGGGUAUAGACCCGAAACCCGGUGAUCUAGCCAUGGGCAGGUUGAAGGUUGGGUAACACUAACUGGAGGACCGAACCGACUAAUGUUGAAAAAUUAGCGGAUGACUUGUGGCUGGGGGUGAAAGGCCAAUCAAACCGGGAGAUAGCUGGUUCUCCCCGAAAGCUAUUUAGGUAGCGCCUCGUGAAUUCAUCUCCGGGGGUAGAGCACUGUUUCGGCAAGGGGGUCAUCCCGACUUACCAACCCGAUGCAAACUGCGAAUACCGGAGAAUGUUAUCACGGGAGACACACGGCGGGUGCUAACGUCCGUCGUGAAGAGGGAAACAACCCAGACCGCCAGCUAAGGUCCCAAAGUCAUGGUUAAGUGGGAAACGAUGUGGGAAGGCCCAGACAGCCAGGAUGUUGGCUUAGAAGCAGCCAUCAUUUAAAGAAAGCGUAAUAGCUCACUGGUCGAGUCGGCCUGCGCGGAAGAUGUAACGGGGCUAAACCAUGCACCGAAGCUGCGGCAGCGACGCUUAUGCGUUGUUGGGUAGGGGAGCGUUCUGUAAGCCUGCGAAGGUGUGCUGUGAGGCAUGCUGGAGGUAUCAGAAGUGCGAAUGCUGACAUAAGUAACGAUAAAGCGGGUGAAAAGCCCGCUCGCCGGAAGACCAAGGGUUCCUGUCCAACGUUAAUCGGGGCAGGGUGAGUCGACCCCUAAGGCGAGGCCGAAAGGCGUAGUCGAUGGGAAACAGGUUAAUAUUCCUGUACUUGGUGUUACUGCGAAGGGGGGACGGAGAAGGCUAUGUUGGCCGGGCGACGGUUGUCCCGGUUUAAGCGUGUAGGCUGGUUUUCCAGGCAAAUCCGGAAAAUCAAGGCUGAGGCGUGAUGACGAGGCACUACGGUGCUGAAGCAACAAAUGCCCUGCUUCCAGGAAAAGCCUCUAAGCAUCAGGUAACAUCAAAUCGUACCCCAAACCGACACAGGUGGUCAGGUAGAGAAUACCAAGGCGCUUGAGAGAACUCGGGUGAAGGAACUAGGCAAAAUGGUGCCGUAACUUCGGGAGAAGGCACGCUGAUAUGUAGGUGAGGUCCCUCGCGGAUGGAGCUGAAAUCAGUCGAAGAUACCAGCUGGCUGCAACUGUUUAUUAAAAACACAGCACUGUGCAAACACGAAAGUGGACGUAUACGGUGUGACGCCUGCCCGGUGCCGGAAGGUUAAUUGAUGGGGUUAGCGCAAGCGAAGCUCUUGAUCGAAGCCCCGGUAAACGGCGGCCGUAACUAUAACGGUCCUAAGGUAGCGAAAUUCCUUGUCGGGUAAGUUCCGACCUGCACGAAUGGCGUAAUGAUGGCCAGGCUGUCUCCACCCGAGACUCAGUGAAAUUGAACUCGCUGUGAAGAUGCAGUGUACCCGCGGCAAGACGGAAAGACCCCGUGAACCUUUACUAUAGCUUGACACUGAACAUUGAGCCUUGAUGUGUAGGAUAGGUGGGAGGCUUUGAAGUGUGGACGCCAGUCUGCAUGGAGCCGACCUUGAAAUACCACCCUUUAAUGUUUGAUGUUCUAACGUUGACCCGUAAUCCGGGUUGCGGACAGUGUCUGGUGGGUAGUUUGACUGGGGCGGUCUCCUCCUAAAGAGUAACGGAGGAGCACGAAGGUUGGCUAAUCCUGGUCGGACAUCAGGAGGUUAGUGCAAUGGCAUAAGCCAGCUUGACUGCGAGCGUGACGGCGCGAGCAGGUGCGAAAGCAGGUCAUAGUGAUCCGGUGGUUCUGAAUGGAAGGGCCAUCGCUCAACGGAUAAAAGGUACUCCGGGGAUAACAGGCUGAUACCGCCCAAGAGUUCAUAUCGACGGCGGUGUUUGGCACCUCGAUGUCGGCUCAUCACAUCCUGGGGCUGAAGUAGGUCCCAAGGGUAUGGCUGUUCGCCAUUUAAAGUGGUACGCGAGCUGGGUUUAGAACGUCGUGAGACAGUUCGGUCCCUAUCUGCCGUGGGCGCUGGAGAACUGAGGGGGGCUGCUCCUAGUACGAGAGGACCGGAGUGGACGCAUCACUGGUGUUCGGGUUGUCAUGCCAAUGGCACUGCCCGGUAGCUAAAUGCGGAAGAGAUAAGUGCUGAAAGCAUCUAAGCACGAAACUUGCCCCGAGAUGAGUUCUCCCUGACUCCUUGA
RNAcentral lists this ribosomal RNA (2787 nucleotides) under activated sludge metagenome. Its description in RNAcentral is "bacterial LSU rRNA". It matches the Rfam family "Bacterial large subunit ribosomal RNA". The record is from RNAcentral.